This 492-nucleotide ribosomal RNA is filed under the name uncultured bacterium. Its description in RNAcentral is "partial 16S ribosomal RNA". It matches the Rfam family "Bacterial small subunit ribosomal RNA", at positions 29 to 507 of the family's 1533-position model. The record is from RNAcentral.
AUUGAACGCUGGCGGCAUGCUUUACACAUGCAAGUCGAACGGUAACAGGCCUUCGGGUGCUGACGAGUGGCGAACGGGUGAGUAAUGCAUCGGAACGUACCCAGAGGUGGGGGAUAACGCAGCGAAAGCUGUGCUAAUACCGCAUGUGAUCUGAGGAUGAACGCGUGGGACCGCGCAGCAAUGUUUGGCCUCGCGCCUUUGGAGCGGCCGGUGUCGGAUUAGCUAGUGGGGGGGGUAAAGGCCUACCAAGGCGGCGAUCCGUAGCUGGUCUGAGAGGACGAACAGGCACAUGGGGAGUGAGACAGGGCAGAGACUCCUAGGGGAGGACGCAGUGGGGAAUUUUGGACGAUGGGCGAAAGCCUGAUCCAGCAAAGCCGGGUGAGGGAAGAAGGCCUUAGGGUUGGAAACCGAUUUUGGCAGGAGGGAAACGGUGUCCGCUAAUACCGGGCGCUAAUGACGGUACCUGCAGAAUAAGCACCGGCUAACUACGUG